GCCUGGGUGGCUCAGUCGGUUGAGCGUCCGACUUGGGCUCAGGUCAUGAUCUCAUGGUUUGUGAGUUCGGGCCCCGCCUCAGGCU
This 85-nucleotide transfer RNA is filed under the name Felis catus (domestic cat). It matches the Rfam family "tRNA". Rfam says of the family: Transfer RNA (tRNA) molecules are approximately 80 nucleotides in length. Their secondary structure includes four short double-helical elements and three loops (D, anti-codon, and T loops). Lineage: Eukaryota; Metazoa; Chordata; Mammalia; Carnivora; Felidae. The record is from Rfam by way of RNAcentral.